CCCUUAUAUGUCCUGGGCUGCACGCGUGCUACACUGAUGCAUACAACAAGUUCCUAGCCCGACAGGGUGUGGCAAUCUCGAAUAUGCAUCGUGAUGGGAAUAGAUCUUUGCAAUUAUAGAUCUUGAACGAGGAAUUCCUAGUAAAUGUAAGUCAUCAUCUUACAUUGAUUAUGUCCCUGCCCUUUGUACACACCGCCCGUCGCACCUACCGAUUGAAUGUUUCGGUGAAGAUUCCGGAUAGGACUGAUUUGAUUUAUUUCAUUUCUGACCUAAAAGCUAUCUAAACCUCAACAUUUAGAGGAAGGUGAAGUCGUAACA
RNAcentral lists this ribosomal RNA (318 nucleotides) under uncultured eukaryote. RNAcentral describes it as "partial 18S ribosomal RNA". It matches the Rfam family "Eukaryotic small subunit ribosomal RNA", at positions 1470 to 1796 of the family's 1831-position model. The record is from RNAcentral.